GCUGGGUUACUCAAGUGGUCAACGAGGGCUGACUGUAAAUCAGCUGGCUUAUGCCUACGGAGGUUCGAAUCCUUCACCCAGCACCA
RNAcentral lists this transfer RNA (86 nucleotides) under Candidatus Berkelbacteria bacterium CG_4_10_14_0_2_um_filter_35_9_33_12. Its description in RNAcentral is "tRNA-Tyr". It matches the Rfam family "tRNA". From Rfam's summary of the family: Transfer RNA (tRNA) molecules are approximately 80 nucleotides in length. Their secondary structure includes four short double-helical elements and three loops (D, anti-codon, and T loops). RNAcentral also lists the same sequence under 2 other names. The record is from RNAcentral. Lineage: Bacteria; Candidatus Berkelbacteria.